CAGCAGCCGCGGUAAUACGUAGGUGGCGAGCGUUGUCCGGAAUUAUUGGGCGUAAAGGGAGCGCAGGCGGACAUAUAAGUCCAUCUUAAAAGUGCGGGGCUCAACCCCGUGAGGGGAUGGAAACUGUAUGCCUUGAGUGCAGGAGAGGAAAGCGGAAUUCCCAGUGUAGCGGUGAAAUGCGUAGAUAUUGGGAGGAACACCAGUGGCGAAGGCGGCUUUCUGGACUGUAACUGACGCUGAGGCUCGAAAGCCAGGGGAGCGAACGGGAUUAGAUACCCGAGUAGUCCCUGUCUCUUAUACA
Molecule: ribosomal RNA, 301 nt
Filed under: uncultured bacterium
Lineage: Bacteria
Description: partial 16S ribosomal RNA
Rfam family: Bacterial small subunit ribosomal RNA
Source: RNAcentral